AUUAAGUUGUAGUUAAACUAAAAUAAUGCUUGAUGCAAAUUAUUAGAUUGCCAAAUUUCAUUUAGAUGGGAUAAUGCAAAUAAUUAUUAGAUUUGAAUUAAAAUUAUUACACUAACGGGAAAACGAUAACUACACCUCUGUAGUUUGGUUAAAUGUUAUGUGGACCUCAAGUUUUCAACAAUGAACAUCAUAACCCCUUUUUGUUACUUUUUACUAUUUAUUUAGAUUAAAAAAAAGAAUAUUUCAAUACUUUUGCUUUGCGUUGACUUCGAAUUUUAAAAAAGAGUCACUUCUCACUUUGGCCUUUUUUCUCUUUUUUCUCUUUUUUCUUUUUCGAUAAGUGUUGAGUGUUAGAAAGUAUAUAUUUAUAAAGGAGAAAAUCGUUAUUUUACAUUUCAAGUCUUACUAACACUUCUACUUUUAUGUAUUUUAGUCUCUUGUAAUUUAAUUAUGUGUGUUUUAUUUUAAUUAAAUAUUUUAUGUAUUUUCAGGGAAUCAUAGUUAUUUUACAAUGAACGAGAGUUCAGAAAGCAAAACGGACAUCACUUUUAAACUCAAGACAGUCGCAAACCUUAAGAGGAGCAUAAAAGGAAAAAUGACACUAUUCACAUAUACGGUACUGUCAACGUUACUGUUCACGACACUGUUCACAUAGACGGAUCAAUGACGUAGAUUUGACCGAUGAUGUGGUAUUGACUGAUGAGGUGUCACGAUCCUAUGGGACUAAAAUUCUUUUGUACUGUUGAUCGGUGACGUAGCAGCAUGUUAGUGGACUAAAAAUCGCGCAUACUGUACAUGCAUAUACACAUGAUUAUUUUCAAUCAAACCGCAUCACUGUUCAAACCGCGUCACUAUUCAAACCGCGUGGUCAAACCGUGUUACUAUUCAAACCGCGUGGUCAAACCACGUACUGUUGACUGAUGACGUGGCGCAAUCCUGAGCGUCUAAAAUGUUUUUAAUUCGAUGGCCAUGAUUUACUCAGUGUAUCUAUAAAAAGGGGGCUCUCCCCUUUAAUUUGGCAUCUCUGAAUUCAUUUUUGAGUUCAAAUUUCUAUAAUUCCUUCUCCAUCUUGUAUUUUCUACGUAUUUUAAUAAAUUUUCAUUUUGCCCCUAGUUCAAUUAUGAGUAGUUAAUUUUCUUUCAAGCUUGGGUUGAAGGUGAAGUCUCAACAUGUGUCAUGGGCUUUAUUUGGUAAAUUUAUUUUCUCUUCCCCUCUAAUUUUUGUGGAUCUUUUGAUUUUUCGUCGACAAAUAGUAAUAAUCUUGUCUAGAUACCGCCCUGGUUUGACCGGCUCCCUAAUAAAAGGUUAUUAUUAUUUGGCACGAUAAGCCCUUAGCACCAUACUGAUUAGAGUGUGGUGCAUAAGGUGUGGAUUCUCCCUUCAUGGUUUAAUUAGCACUAAUAAGGAAUAUUUAGCCCAUGGUGCAUGUUGAUGCGGAUCCAGAUACUCAAACUCUUCAAUUAUUAUAGUUUCCACUUUAGUUUAAUUCUGCCAUUUCAAUUUAAAUUUUAGGAUAUUCCAAAUAAUCUUUACCAUAAAUCCAACCACCCAUAUCGAAGAUUAAUUCUACACGUAAUUAAAAAUCCACCUCCUCAUGGGAUUGUCACUCGUCUCCAUUAAUCUAUUCUACAAUAGAUUCGUGCACUUGCGAGUUCAAUAAAAUUUGCACAACAAGUUUUUGGCGCCAUUGCCGCGGAGGGAAAUCUCAGAGUUUACCCAAAGAGAAGACGAGCAGUUUUUUGAAAUAUAGGAGCAAUUCAAUGGGCUGCUCUUGAAGUAUAAACAUCAUGGGUAUGAGAAAUGGCACCAAUGCUAAUACGUUUUGGAGGGAUUACUGCCGCGUGUGCAAGAAUGGCUAAUGGCAACAAGUGGAGGAGAGCUAAUGUCAAAAAGUGCAUAAGAGAUUUGGAAAUUCUUCCAGCGACAAGCGGAUAAUUCCCAACAACGGAGUCGAUCGCUCAGGAAUACUAAAAGAAUUAAAGGAGUAAAUGAGGUUCACAUUGGCGAGUCAAGUUCGGGAAUUAAAGAAGUUAAAGAAAUGGUUGAAGGUCUCUCUCGACAAAUAGCAUCGUUAUCGAGUGAUAAAUCAAUAGAGCCACAUGAUCAUGACUCAUACUCAGAUUAAGCCAAUGCCAUAGGUGUAAUGAGAAAACCAUCAAAUUACAACCCAUACUCCAACACAUAUAACCCUGGAUGGAGAGACCACCCCAAUUUUUCAUGGUCUCAAGGAUUCCAACAGAGUGGACCAGCAGCUCUAGCUCUACCAAUGCAACCAAUUCCUCAAGUUUCCCAAGCCUCUCAGCAACCAUUUAGACCAUACAAUCAGAACCAGAACUACUCUCAACCCAUACCAUGGGAGAAUGCAUUCCAGAAUUUCAGGAAUGUUACUCACUCCACGAUCAAGCAACAGAACCGCAACAUUGAUGAACUAUGAAAUGAGAUGAGAGCAGGCUUCAACUCACAAGCCCAAUCAGUUUCAAGCCUCGAGAAGAUGGUGGGAUAGCUUGCUUCUUCAGUUCAAACUUUGGCAAUGACUAUUGAGAAAAGUAAAUUUCCAAGUCAACCAGUGCCUAAUCCUAAAUGAGUGCAUGAAGCAAGUACCAGUGCACCACAGUAGCAUGGAGAGGUCAAAGCAAUCAUGACCUUACGAAAAGGAAAAGAAGUCGACAAUAAAGUAAAGAUGCCGGUGAUAAAAGAAAAUCAAAUUGUACUUGUAAAUGCUGAGGAAUCAUCAUCGGAGGAAAAAGAAGAAACCAACCCAUGAGAAUACGUUCCCAAAGCUCCUUUUCCUCAAAGGUUAGCUAAAGGAAAGAAGGAAAAAUCCACAGGUGAGAUUUUUGAAAUCUUCAAACAAAUAAGUGUUAAUAUCCCUUUGCUUGAUGCUAUAAAACAAGUGCCAUCUUAUGCCAAGUUUCUUAAAGGCCUUUGUACUAAAAAGAGAAAUAUUCACGUUCAAAAGAAGACAUUUUUAACAAAAAAUGUUAGUUCUAUACUCUAACACAAAAUUUCUCUGAAAUGUAAAGACCCAUGCUCCCCCACUAUCUCAUGUAGUAUAGGGAACUGCACAAGUGAGAAUGCUUUGUUGGACUUAAGAGUUAGUGUAAAUCUGUUACCCUACUCAGUAUUUGUGAAACUUGGACUGGGUAAAUUACACCCAACUCCCGUGGUGUUACAACUUACAGAUCGAUCCAUGAAAAUAUCUCGUGGUAUUGUGGAGGACGUGCUUAUCUAGGUAGACAAGUUUUAUUUUCCUGUUGAUUUCAUUGUAAUUGACACUCAACCAAUCCAGAAUUUAAGGAAGCACAUCCCCAUUAUCCUAGGUCGACCUUUCUUGGCAACUGCCGAUACUCACAUUCAAUGCAGUACUGGAAAUAUGCAAUUGUCCUUCGGCAACAUGACUAUGGAGCUAAAUAUUUUCAACAUUACCAAACAACCUCACAAUGCAGAUGAUGGAAUUGUUGAUGUGGAUUUAAUAGAAACAUUAGUUGAUGAUGCUUUUCUUUCAAACCUUAGUGAUGAUCCUUUACAAACAUGCUUAACUCACUUUGGUUUGGAUUUUGAUAUUGACAGAUCGGUCGAUAAGGUCAACGCCCUGCUUAACUCAGCACCAUCCAUGGACACUAAUAAAUAGAAGUCAAGAGUUGAACAACUAGUACCAUCAAAGAAGAAACUCAUCCCAUCAUCGGAAUCACCACCGAAACUCGAGCUCAAACCAUUACCUAACACUUUGGAAUAUAUUUUUUUAGGAGAAAAAAGUACUUUGCCGGUAAUCAUCUCAUCAUCCCUAAAUGACGAACAAAAAGGUAAGUUGUUAGAUGUUUUAAAAGAGCACAAACGAGCAUUAGGAUGGACCAUAGCCAACAUAAAAGGUAUAAACCCAGUAGACUGCAUGCAUUAUAUUCACCUUGAUGAAAAUGCUAAACCUACUAGGGAAAUGCAACGUCGGUUAAAUCCUAACAUGAAAGAAGUUGUUAGAACUGAAGUCUUUAAGCUAUUAGAUGCAGGUAUCAUUUACCCUAUUUAUGAUAGUUCAUGGGCCAGUCCUGUACAAGUUGUCCCCAAAAAGUCAGGAGUCACAGUAGUUACUAAUGUUGAUAAUGAAUUGAUACCCACUAGAGUGGCUACAAGAUGGCGUGUAUGCAUUGAUUAUAGAAAGUUGAAUUAUGUCACACGUAAAAACCAUUUUCCUUUACCAUUUAUCAAUCAAAUGCUUGAUAGAUUAGCAGGCCAUGAAUUUUAUUACUUUCUAAAUGGUUACUUAGGAUAUAAUCAGAUUCCUAUAGCACCAAAAGAUCAAGAGAAAACCACUUUCACUUGCCCUUUUGGUACUUUUGCAUAUAGGAGGAUGUCAUUUGGAUUAUAUAAUGCACAUGCUACAUUUCAACGAUGCAUGUUGAGCAUUUUUUCUGAUAUGGUUGAACGAUUCCUUGAAGUUUUAAUGGAUGACUUUUCUGUCUUUAGUGAUUCAUUUGAUCAAUGUUUACAUCAUAUAACACUAGUUCUGUAGAGAUGUAUCGAGAAGAAUUUAAUCUUAAAUUGGGAGAAGUGUCAUUUUAUGGUAAAAUAAGGUAUUAUUCUCGGUCACAUCAUUUCAAGCAAAUGUAUUGAGGUUGACAAAGUAAAGGUGGAUCUCAUUUCUAAUCUUCCUCCACCCAAAACAGUUAGAGAAGUAAGAUCUUUCCUUGGGCAUGAUGGGUUUUAUAGACAUUUCAUUAAGGAUUUUAGCAAAGUUUCUAGACCCUUAUGCAAUCUACUUGCUAAAGAUGUACCUUUUAUCUUUGAUGAUUCAUGUCUUGUGGCAUUAGAAAAAUUAAAGUAGUUGUUGACAUCAUCACCUAUCAUUCAACCCCCAAACUAGAGCUUACCAUUUGAGCUCAUGUGUGAUGCAUCUGAUUAUGCAGCAGGAGCAGUUUUAGGACAAAAAGUUGAUUAAAUUUCCUAUGUUAUUUAUUAUACUAGUAUGACAUUGAAUGAUGCACAGUUGAACUAUUCAACUACUAAAAAAGAAAUAUUAGCAGUAGUGUUUGAAAUGGAGAAAUUUCAAUCUUAUCUCAUUGGUUGUAAAAUAAUUGUAUUUACAGAUCAUGCUGCUCUUAAAUAUCUUCUCACAAAGAAAGAUGCAAAAGCUAGACUAAUUCGUUGGGUGUUACUUUUGCAGGAAUUCGACUUGAAAUUUAAAGAUAAGAAAGGCACAGAAAUGUUGUGGCAGACUAUCUCUCUCGUUUCAAUUUUGACACAAUUACAGAACCAUUAACAUUGAAUGAGUCAUUUCCAGAUGACCAAUUGAUGAGUGCGGAAGUGUGACCGUGGUAUACUGAUAUCGUUAAUUAUCUCGUUACAGGUCAACAUCCAGAGCAUUGGACCAAGUAGGACAAAGCCAAAUUUUUUACAGAAAUAAAGAAUUUCUUUUGGGAUGACCCUUAUAUGUUCAACUAUUGUGCAGAUCAAAGUGUUAGGCGAUGUGUCCUAGAAAGUGAAAUUCAGAAUAUUCUUUCAUUCUGGCAUGAACAAGCUUGUGGAGGCCAUUUCAGUGCUAAGAAAACAGCUACUAAAGUUUUACAAUGUGGUUUCUAUUGGCCAACUAUAUUUCGAGAUGCUUACAUUUUUUGUUCUUCAUGUGAUAGGUAUCAACGAAUGGGGAGCAUUACACGAAGGAAUAUGAUGCAAUUAAAUAUAAUUUUAGUGGUUGAGAUUUUUUAUGUAUGGGGUAUCGACUUCAUGGGACCCUUUCCCCCUUCUUUUGGCCAUCAAUACAUAUUGGUUGCUGUUGACUACGUAUCGAAAUGGGUAGAAGCAAUUCCAUGUAGAACCAAUGAUUACAAGGUGGUGAUAGGAUUUUUGAAAAGCAACAUUGUUUCACGCUUUGGAUUCCCUCGAGCAAUAAUCAGUGAUGGAGGUACCCACUUUUGUAACAAAGUAUUCAAAACUCUUUUGACAAAGUAUUCCAUCACUCACAAAGUGGCGACCUCAUAUCAUCCGCAAAUCAGUGGCCAAGUUAAGAUCUCCAGUCGAGAAAUAAAGCACAUAUUAGAAAAGACGGUGAGGCCAGACAUAAAAGAUUGGUCAUUAAGACUUGAUGAUGCAUUAUGGGCAUAUAGAACGACUUUUAAGACCCCAAUUGGGAUGUCACCCUACAGGCUAGUGUAUGGAAAAACUUGCCACCUACCUGUGGAACUCGAGCAUCGUGCAUAUUGGGCCAUUAAGAAAUUCAAUUUUGACAUGUAGUAAGCUAGCUCAGAAAGAAGAUUACAGCUGGUAGAACUUGAAGAAAUUCGUAAUGAUGCAUACGAAAAUGCCAAGAUUUACAAGCAACGAAUGAAAGUCUUUUAUGACAAGCAAAUUAUGAGAAAAUCUUUCACUCUAAGUCAGAAAGUACUUUUUAUUCAAUUCUCGCUUGCACCUAUUUCCAGGUAAAUUAUGCUCUCGAUGGUCUGGUCCCUUUAUUGUUCACACUGUUUUUCCACAUGGGGCAAUUGAAAUUAAGGACCCAAAGAACGGUGUCACAUUUAAAGUUAAUGGUCAAAGAUUAAAGCCAUAUCUAGAGUACCAACCACAUAGAGAGGACACCGAAAUAAAUUUGAGUGACCCACUAGAUUUGAAUUGAGAUUUUUCUUUUUUUUGGUGAUUUGAUUUUUUUCUUUCUUUUUACUGUUCUUUUGCUAAUUGAAAUUAUUUUUGCAUAAGUGUGUUUGUUUAACAAUUAAGUUUUCUCUUAUCAUUAUUAAUCAUGAGUGCCUUAGCUAAACAGAUCCUCCUGGAUAUUCUUAGACCACUUCAACGUGUAAAAUCUCAUCUUAAAAGGUAGAUUCGAUUUUAUAAAACACAUCAUAUUUGGGCUCUACAACCACCAGAGUUAGUAUCCCAUGUUGAGGAUUUAGAAAGCCAACUCAGAGACAUUAAGGGAGGUGUUUGCAACAUCCAGUUGGAGCUUGAGGUAAAUUCAAUAAGAGGACGAUUGUAAUUUUUUUUUGUAUAUUUUAGUUUGUUUCUUUGUUUGUGUGCUUUAGUUUGUUACCCCGGUAAAGUGGCAGAUAACGAUACUCCGUGACAAUCAAGUCGAUUAUUUCAAUUUCCCACAAUAACUGAUAUUUUGAGGCGAAGGUAUGGACAGAAACGAGAUUCUAGCAAAACUUCACAAUUGAUUCCCUCCACUUCCUCAGAAUGCCCUCCUUACAAUCUAUAAAGCUCGGUCCGAACGCAUGUGAUUGCUCAUGAGGAAUAACAUACCUACUGACAUCCGCUAGUUAAUCGAGGCUAAAGUACGAUUGGCAAGUGAGUUACCUCCUAAAUUUAUUGCAUACAUGUCUGGUUGUGGUAAAGGAAAUUAUGCAAGAAAACGAUGAGCUCGAAGAAUUUCUGUUGCUUGUCAUAAGUGUGCCAGAAUGAGAUGCUAUAAAAAAUCAUAUUCUUUAGGAAUGGUGUCUGAUAACAGGGAAGAUAAGAUUCAAUUCAUUAGGGAUGGCUUGAAUAAAGAGUCAUUGGAUGAUAUCCUUUUGUCUCUUAAAACGCAUCCCAGUGGAUAUGUAUAAGGAGUGAUUCUCCAGUUAUGGCCAUUAUUCCAGAAAGAGCAUGCACGAUAUAGUCUCGGAAAUCUGACCAUAAACGACCUUAUUUGCCAUUUUAUAAGAAAACUGGAUUGGAAGCCUAUCAUCGACCCAUAGAGGGCGUUCAAGCCGUUUCUGGACGUAAACUCAGAGGAAGAUGUGAGCCACAGUCGCAACCAUCUGUAAAUAGCCUUUUUCUUCACUGUUGUUUUAUCAUUUGCAUUAUUGUCUUUAAUAAUUUUAUUUUAUCAUUUUUUCCUUUUUUACUGUUUCCUUUUUGACUCUCGAGCCAUGUGCUUUACACGUUAAUUGAUACUAGCAUGCUACCUCAUACACAGUUGUGACCCACUACCACCAAGAUUCUUAAAUAUGAUUUUUUGUUAAGCACUCACAAAUUGUUUUUGAUAAGUAUCUUAAUGGCAGCUACUCCAAAUAAACAAUUCAAGAAUAUUUGUGUGCUUUCUGGAUUUAACUAUGACAAGCAUAAAGAGUUCGUUGAGGCAACCAUAGAUCUUGGUCGAAGUAUAGCACAGAGAAAAUUACACUUGGUGUAUGGAGGAGGUAAUCGAGGGUUAUCAAAAUUGGUCUUAGAAGCUACUUUUGUUAGAGGAAGCCAAGUGUUAGGCAUCAUUCCAAGAGUCUUAAAACCUUUAGGCAGUUUAUCUCACUCACUGACUAAAGAAGAAUUAGUCGUCUCAGGUAUGCAAAAAAGAAUAACUUAAAUGCUUAAUCAUGCUGAUACUUUUAUUUUCCUGCCAGGAGAUCUUUCAACUCUAGAGGCACUUAUCACAUUAGCAUCUUGGGUCCAUCUGCACAUUCAUCAUAAACCUAUCGGUUUGUUAAAUGUCAAUAACUUUUAUGAUGACUUCAUCGCAUUUCUUAACUAUGUAAUAAAAAACUAUUUCAUUCAUUCCACAACGAAAAUUGUUUUUAUUUGUACUCACACUGCUAAUGAGCUACUUAGUCUGUUACAAGCUUAUAGACCAGAGCCAGACCUUGGGACCUUUGUGUUGGAGUCUCCAAAUAAUGAUGGUAACAGUAGCCGCAGUAAGAAGUAUAAAUUAGAUUUAACUCUCCGCUUGUAAAUAUUUUCGUCUGUGUUGCACCACCCAGGUGAUUUCUUUUAAACUCUAUUUCUUUCCUUUCAAACAUUGAGGACAAUGUUUCGUUCUGGUUGGGGGGAGGGAAUAGUUGACAAUUGUGUAAUCUUGGUUACGUUUUUAUUGAUUUUUUGUUGUAGAGACUAACCAUGGCUAACGUUUUGUGUUAAUGAUGGCUGAAUAUGGAGUGUAGUUACUCUAGAAACGCAUCUUCUUCGUUUAAAAAAAACAAACAAAAUACAUUCCAGACAUUUUCUUUUUCUUUAUUAAGUUUUGACAAUUAUUUUUCUUCUUCUCUCUAAUUUCUCCUUUAUAAAUAUACACGUUCGAAUUUUUGAGUCAAAGAUGGCUGAAUAUGGAGUGUAGUGACUCUAGAAAUGCAUCUUUUCAGUUAAAAAAAUACCAUUUUCUUUUUCUAUCAUUUUAAGUGUAACUUUUCUAAUUAGUUUUCCUGCAUCAUUUUUCACCUUUUUGCAUGCAUAUUUUCCUUUCAUGUUUAGAAUAGGUUGAGGGGUAGAAUGUUGUUUGAACUAAAUUUUUUUUUGGUGUGAUUUGUUUUAACAUUGGAUGAGAUGAUGAAUUUCAAAUUUUAGUAUUUGUAUUAUCUUUAGUCUUAAGUGAUGUUACGCCAUGUUUGUUACUCUACAUGUUGAUGUCGGAGACAAAUAUAAGUUGCUUGAAGGAAUGCACAUGUCAUAAUGAAUACCAAGUGAGUUUUUGAGCCUGUCAUUUUUCUUGAAAAGUAACAAUUUUUGUCCAUUCUUCAUACAGCUUAGCAGUUUAUUAUUUUAUACAUGAUCUCUAUAUUUCUUUUGAGCCAACCCUUUAAAAAAAAUUAUAAAAAAAAAGAAAGAAAAUGUGUUGCUACAUCUGGAGGUCCAUCUAACUAGUAGAUAUGGAAGAUUAUUUGGAGCCCUAAAAGACGAUGGAAAGGCUAUCUUUGACCCGUUUGAGCCUUUCUAGCCAUCAUUUUUAUGAAAUAUCCAUAGUUAACCAUUUUGAGCCUUAAAAAAAAAAUUUUUUCUUUGUCAACUUAUCAUCUUGACCCACUCCGAUUUGGAGUAUUACCCAAUAUCUUACAAGUUCCAUCACUUAUUUAUGUUUGAGCAAAAAGUAAAUAAUUAUUUUGUUCAAUGACGUUGUGCCAAACAAAAGCAAAAAAAAAAAAAAACAACAAAAAACCAAAAAAAAUUGUUGUUUCAAAAAAAGAAAAAAAGAAAAAAUGAUAAUAAUAAAUAAGCAAAAUGCAUAUUGUAAUUUACAAAAUAUCUCUAUUUUUUUUUCUCAAACAUAUAUUUUGUUUUUCCUAUUUUCCUUCAUUUGUUAACCAUGACCCUAGGCUAUGUUACGUCUUAAUAAAAGUCCUUCUUAGUUUUAGGGAUGUAUAGUCUAAAGUAGAAGCUAGUCUUAUGGGCUAAAAAGAUGUAGUGAUGCAUAAAAAAUAAUAAUAAAAAAAAUAAAAAAAUAAAUUGGGUUGACUAGCAUUGUGUUUGACUUAAAGAUCGUGUUAUUUCUAAGCUUUGGGCAUAUUUCUUUCAUCUUGGUGAGAGCAUGUAAUAUUAUUUCCUUAUUGUCUUUCUCUCAAUUUACUAUUCAUUGAAGUGACUAUUUUUAUUAGAUUUAAUUUCUUUGUGAGAGUGUCACUCUACCGGUGAGCUUUUGGGGUUGACAUGUCAUUCUUGAAAGUGGCUUGAUUACUAUAAUUAUGACAAAUUCUGCUGGUCUAAUGCAUGUGGAUGGUUGAUGUGGGUGUGAUAUUUCUUUAGACUGGAGAUAAUGCGUAUACUUUUAUUUGAUUGUUAUCAUUAGUCUGAUUAAAUAAAUAUGAGUGUUUUAAAAAAAAAAUUAGAUUUGAAUUUUGUUUUCGCUUUAUUUGCUAGGGACUAGCAAUAAGCUGGUUGGGGGGUGUGUUGAGUGUUAGAAAGUGUAUAUUUAUAAAAAAGAAAAUCGUCAUUUUACAUUUCAAGUCUCACUAACACUUCUACUUUUAUGUCUUUUAGUCUCUUGUAAUUUAAUUAUAUGUGUUUUAUUUUAAUUAAAUAUUUUAUGUAUUUUAGGGGCAUCAUUGUCAUUUUACAAUGAAUGAGAGUUUAGAUAGCAAAACAGACAUCACUUUUGAACUUAGGACAGUUGAAAACUUUAGGAGGAGUCUAAAAGAAAAAAUGGCACUGUUUACAUAUACGGUACUAUUCACAUGUACAGUACUAUCUACGUUACUGUUCACGACACUGUUCACAUAGACGGAUCGAUGAUGUGGCAUUGACUGAUGAGGUGUCACGAUCCUGUUGGACUAAAAUUCUUAUGUACUGUUGAUUGGUGACGUGGCAGCAUGUUAGUGGACAAAAAAAUGCGCAUACGGUACAUGCAUAUACACAAGAUUAUUUUCAACCAAACCGCGUCACUGUUCAAACCGCAUCACUAUUCAAACCACGUGGUCAAACCGUGUUACUAUUCAAAUCACGUGGUCAAACCGCUUACUGUUGACUGAUGACGUGACGCAAUCCUGAGCGUCCAAAAUGUUUUUAAUCCGAUGGCCAUGAUUUACUCAGUAUAUCUAUAAAAGGAGGGCUCUCCCCCUUUAUUUGGCAUCUCUGAAUUCAUUUUUGAGUUCAAAUUUCUAUAAUUCCUUCUUCAUCUUGUAUUUUCUACGUAUUUUAAUAAAUUUUCAUUUUGCCCCUAAUUCAAUUAUGAGUAGUUAAUUUUCUUUCAAGUUUGGGUUAAAGGUGAAGUCUCAACAUGUGUCAUGGGCUUUAUUUGGUAAAUUUAUUUUCUCUUCCCCUCUAAUUUUUUGUGGAUGUUUUGACUUUUCGUCGAUAACUAGUAAUAAUCUUGUCUAGAUACUGCCAUGGCUUCACCAGCUCCCUAGUACAAGGUUAUUAUUAUUUGGCACGAUAAACCCUUAGCACCGUAUUGAUUAGAGUGUGGUUCAUGAGGUGUGGAUUCCCCCUUCAUGAUUUAAUUGGCACUAAUAAGGAAUAUUUAGCCCAUGGUGCAUGUUGAUGUGGAUCCAGAUACCCAAGCGCUUCAAUUAUUAUAGUUUCCACUUUAGUUUAAUUCUGCCAUUUCAAUUUAAAUUUUAAGAUAUUCCAAAUCAUCUUUACCAUAAAUCCAACCACCCACAUAGAAGAUUAAUUCUACACGUAAUUAAAAAUUCACCUCCUCGUGGGAUCGACACUCGUCUCUAUUAAUUUAUUCUACAAUAGAUUCGUGCACUUGCGAGUUCAAUAAAAUUUGCACAACAAUAAGCUAACCUAGUUUGCCAAUAAUAAUAAUAAUAACUAAAAUGGCUUAAAGCGCCUUUGAUUAUGAGAUUGAAGGAAUCCGCAUGGAUUUAAAAUAAAAAAUGAGAGCAAUGGAAGCAAUUAAGCUAAUCAAAACUAAAACUAACAUCCAACAUUAAAUCCCUCACAUAUAGACUUCAAUUAUAAAAAAAAUUAAAUAUUAUUGAAAGUGAAUAUGAAAUUAUUAUUAUUAUUGUAUAUUCAUUAUAUUAUUUACACAAAGAAUUAGCCUAUAUAUAGGCUUUACAUAAAGCUAAACUAGGAAACUAAAUAAAUAUAAAUAUGGCACAAAUCUUAAGGACUUAGUGAAUUAUAAUCUUGGAAUUAAUGGAGAUUUAUUGUCCUGCUUAACACCUUCUCCAACCCCCCAAACUUAAGAUGGGGUAGUAGAAGCAAGCUUGAGUUUCCAAACAAAGUGACCAAAACAACUAGGAAAAAGUGACUUGUUGAAAAGAUCAGUUGUGUUAGCUUAGCAGGACACAAAUUAAAGCUGAAUGGUACCUUGGGGGCAAUGUUGUCCAAUGAGAUGAAAAUUUGUCUAUGUGUAUUUAGUGCACUCAUCGAAGACAUCGUUGUGAGCGAUUUCAAUAGCACUUUUAUUAUCAUAGUAAAGAAAUGUAGCUCCAUAAUGAGUAAUUCCCAUGUACUUUAACCCAUAAAGUGAAGAAUAGAAAAAGCAACAAUGAUUUGUUUCUUACUACACCAAGAAAUAAGUGAAUCCUCUAAAAAGAAGCAAAUACCAGUGGCAGAGCACUAAUCAAAAGGAUCUCCUGCCCAAUCAGAAAUUAAAAAACCAUGUAGUUUUAAAGAAGAAUUGGCUGAGAAGUAGAGACAUGAAAUAUAGUACACUUAAUAUAUUGUAGGAUAUGAAUAACAGCUAGAUAAUGAGAAACCAGUGAUAUAAAGACAUUGGUUAUUUAAUUAAGAUCGAUAUCAAGCUAUCAAGAAAGAAGUCAAUAAACUAUUGGUGGCCAACUUUUUUUUUUUGUGAAGUUUUGUUAUGCAAAUUUUAUUGAACUUGCAAGUGCACGAAUCUAUUAUAGUAUAGAUUAAUAGUGACUAGUGUCGAUCUAUGAGAAGGUAGAUUUAAUUAUGUGUAGGGUUAACUUUUCAAUUUAUUAUGCAAAUUGUCAAAAGUGAUUUAUGAGCAGUACUAAGAUUUAAAAUUAAAAAAAUAAAAAUGGCAAGAAUAAAUUAAAGAUGAAACAAUGCAAAUGAAGCAAUUAAGUCUCUGGAUUCACACUCAACAUUUUUACUAUUAACUUAUUAUUCCUUUUUAGUUCUAAUUAAUUAUAAUGGGGUAUUUCCACUCUUCAUAGUCCUUGUUCUGGUGAUAUGAUAUCAAGCACUCAUUAUGGUAGGGGGAAAUAAUCUCUUGCUAAAUGUGGUGUUAAGUACACAUUGUGCUAGGUAAUAAGAGUCCAACUGUCAACAAUAUGACAAGACCGUCCACUAAAUAACUUAGAUGCACUCUCUAUCAAAACUAAGUUAAAAUUAACCACUAAUACUAGUGGGAGAUUUUCUUUAAUAAAUAUAAUGUAAAGUACUCAUCGUGCGAAAUAGUAAUGAUCUUGCACUAGGGAGCUGGUAUACCUUGUAAAAUCUAAACAAGAUUAUUACUGUUUGUCAAAGAUGAGUAAAACCAAUCCACAUGAAUCAGAAAGAAAGAGUUAAUAGACCUAACAAAUUUAAGCUCAUAGAUCAUAUUGAGGCUUCACCUUCAACUCAAGCUUGAAACUAAAAUAGUCACUCGUAUUAAACUAGGGGUAAAAUAAUAAUUUUAUACCAAAAUACAUAGAAAAUACAAGAUGGAGAGAUAAUUACACAAAAUAGAGCUUAGAAUUGGAGUUAGAGCUGUCAAAUUAACGUGGAGCCCCUUAUUUAUAGAUACAACGAGUAAAUCAUGGUCACAAGAUAAAAACAAUUCAGAUGCUAAGGUUGCGCCACGUGACAAGCUUUGAUUGGAUAGAACACGGCAUUUAGGCUAUGAUUUCGUGUAUAUGCACACAAUGUAUGUGCAUAUACUACCACGUCAUCAGUCAAUAAAAAUGUCAACAAGUUUUGAUUCAGUGUAUUACAUGUAAUGUUUGCACAUUUUUCGAUCCAAUAAUAUACCGCCACAUUAUCAGUUAACAGUAAGCAGUCGAAUAGGAUGUUGCCACUUCAUUAAUUGACAAUAAAUGGUCGAAUAUGAUGCUACCACGUCAUCGGACAAUGCCACAUCAGCUGGGCCACACCAAAACUAACAUUCAUUCAACAAUUACAAUUUUACCCUUUAUGCCCUUCCUAAGGUUUUUAACUAUUUUGAGCUUAAAAAUAUUGUCUGUUGUGUUGUUCGAUUUCUUUUUAAUUAUGAAAUAAUCAAAAUACCCUAAAAUACAUAAAAUACUCAAAUUAUAAUAAAACACACAAAAUUAAAUUUUAAAGGACUUAAAUAUGUAAAAGUAAAAAUAUUAGUGAGACUUAGAGUAUAAAAUAACGAUUUUACCCUUUAUAACAUACAUUCUUUAGCACUCAACACACUCCCUAACCAACUUAUUGUUAGUCCCUAGCAAAUUGAGUGAUAAUGCCUAGUGAAAUUCAAACCCAAAUUGAAAUUUUUUAGGCAAUUGUGUUUACUUCUUUAAUCAGAUUAAUGACAACUAUAAAAUAAAAGUACAAGCAUUAUCUCUAGCCUUAAAAAGUCACUUCCACAUCAACUAUUCACACAAAUCAGUUAGGUAAACUUAUGCGAAAUGGUCAAUUAUGAAAUCUACAUUAAUCAAGUUACUUUCAAGAACGACAUGUUGAACCCCAAACUCUCAUGGGAAAGAGUGAUACUCUCAAAAGAAAAUAAACUUAGUAGAAAUAGUCACUCCAAGUAAUGGUAGAUUGAGAAAAAAUAUUAAAAGAACAAUAUCACACACUCUCACCAAAAUAAAAUAAUAAUGUUCAUAGCUUAGAAGGAAUAUGAUCUCAGGUCAAAAUAAUUACUAAUCAAAUCAAUAUUACUUGUAUUCAUUUUUAUGCAUCACCAUAUCUUUUGGUCCAUAUUACUAUAUUUUACUUUAGACUAUAGUUCCUUAAAAUCAAAAAAGACUUUUAAUAGGACGUAACAUAAGUUAGGGACAUGGCUAAUAAAGAAGGGAUAAUAGGAAAAAUAAAAUAUAUGUUUGAGAAGAAAUAGAGAUCUUUUGGAAAUUAUAAGGUGCUUUUCACUUUCAUUUAUUUAUUUUAUUAUUUUCAUCUUUUUCUUUUUCUUUUUUACCUUUUUUGGGUAAUGCACCACUUUUUCUGAAAAAUUAUCUAUAUAUUUCUCAAACAUGGAUAGGUGAUCGAAAAUAUAAAAUAUAGGGUAAUACUCUAAAUUGGAGUGGGAUAGGAUGAUAAGUUAAUAAAGAAAUCAAUUUUUUUAUAGGCCUAAAAGAGGUAACUAUAGAUACUUCAAAAUAGGAAUGGCUAGAAAAGGUUCAAAUAGAUCAAAUAUGGCCUUUCUAUCAUUUUUUUUAAUUCUCUGAAUAGUCUUUCAAAUUUAUUAAGUCAAUGGACUUUCAGAUGUAGCAACACAAUUUUUUUAAUUGGUUGACUUACUUUCUAUGACAUAUACAUUCCUUCAAAUAGCUCAGUUAAUUUUACUCAUCAACUUUCUCAUUUCACACUUGUCACCAACAUUAACAUGCAAAGUGGCAAACAUGAUGUAAUAUCACCUAAUACCAAAGAUAAUAGAAAUACCAAAAUUUAGAAGUCAUCAUGUUAUCAAGAGAUCACACAAAAUAUCUCAAUUUUGUUUUAGGAGUAAAAAAACUCUAAGACUAAGAUGAUGUAUUUCUAGAGUAACAAAACUCCAUAUCCAACUAUCUUAAACUCAAAUUUAUCAUAUGUUAGUCUUCACAACAAAAAUUAGUAAAAUAUCACCAGGAUUGAGAAAACAUAACCACAACUAUCAAUUAUUCCCUCCCUCAACAGGAAUGAGACAUUGUCCUCAAUGUCUUAAAGGAAAGAAGUAUAGUUUAGAAGACAUCACCCGAACACUACAAUAGAAAAUAGUUACAAACAAAGAGUUAAAUAUAAUUUUUGUUUCUUACUACUGCUAGCAUCAUCAGUUGAUCAAUCCGACGUAGGAAUCUUGGGAUCUUGCUCUAGUAUGUAAGUUUGCAAAAGAUCAAGUAACUCAUUAGAAGUGGGAGCACAAAUAAACAUUUUUUUUCACUUUGACUGAAAUGAAAUGAUUCUUAAUUGUAUGAUUAAGAAAUGCUAUCAAGUUAUCAUAAAAGAUAUUAACAUUUAACAAACCAAUACACUUUUGAUAAAUGUCCAAAUGGGCCUAAGAAGCAAAUUUAAUUAGUGCUUUUAUAGUUGCAAGAUCUUUUGGUAAGAAAGUGAAAGUGUCUCCGUAGUUUAACAUCACAUAUAUUCUCUCUAACAUGCUUGAGACGACUAGCUCUUUUAUAAUUUGUAAGCCGUGCAGGCAUCCUAGAGGUUUUAGGGCUUUUGGGAUGAUACCGAGCACUUGGCUUCCUUUAGUGUAAGCAGCUUCUGAGACAAAUCUUGAUAACCUUUAUUCACUUUCUCCAUAUACAAGGUUUAUUUUUCUCCCUAUUAAGACUCGAUCAAGAUCUAUACCUGUCACAAUGAACUCUUUAUAUUUGUCACAAUGAAACUCAGAAAGCACACAAAUGUUUUUGAGUUGUCUAUUCAAAGUUGCUGCCAUUAGGAUAAUUCUCAAAAAUAAAUUAUGAAUGCUAAAAAAAGAAGCUCUAUUUGAAGAUCUUAGUGAUGGAUAUGAUGAUAUACAAUUAUAUAUGGGGUGGUGUGUUUGUCAGAUUACACCUGAAGUUCAUGGCUCAAGAGUCAAAAGCGAAUAAUAAAGAAAAGCAAGUAGUAAGUAGAUAUAAAAUCACACUAUUAAAAGUAAUAAUGCAAAUAAUAAAAUAAUAGUAAAACACAAGAUUAUGUAUUGAUAGUUGCGACUGUGACUCACAUCUUCCUUUAGUUUUAUGUAUAGAAAUGACUUGAAUGUCCUUUAUUGCUUAUAGAUAGGCUUAAUAUCUAGUUUUCUUAUAAACUGGUAAAUAGAGUCAUUGAUAAUUGGAUUCUUGAGACUAUAUCUUGCAUGUUCUUUCUAGAAUAAUAGCCAUAAAUGGGAAAUUGUAUGUACAUGUCCAUUGGAUGCGUUUUAAGAGUUGAAAAGAUGUCAUCCAAUAACUGUUUAUCCAAGCCAUCCCAAAUGAAUUGAAUCUUGUUUUCCCUGUUAUGGGACAUCAUUCCCAAAGCUUUACAAGGACGUUUGUUAUAGGUUGAUCGACCACACUUAUGAUAAGAAAUUUAGAGCCGUUUAGUUCUUUAUUUUCUUGAAUAGUUUCUUUUCCCAUAAGGCAUCUAGGUAGUAAAUUUGGGAGGUAAGUCCCCUGCCAAUCGCACUUUGGCUUCAAUUAACCAAUAGAUAUCAACAUGGAUGUUAUUCCUUAUAAGUAAUCACAAGCAUUUGAACUGAGCUUUAUAAAUUGUGAGGACUAUAUUCUAAAAAAGAGAGGGAAAUCACUUGUGAAGCUUUGUUAAAAUUAUGUUCUUAUCUAUACCUUAGCUUAAAAAUGUAAAUUAUCGUGGAAAACUGAUGAAAUCAACUUUAAUAGUUAUAGAGUACUAUUAUCUGCCACUUAAUAAUGGUAACAAAUGAUAACACACAAAAGAAAUCAAUCAUUGUCCUUUUGUUAAAUUAGUUCUUAUUGGAUAUCAUAAAUGCCACCCUUUAAUUUUCCUGAGUUGUCUUUCUACCUCUUUAAAAUAGGAUAUUAAUGCUGGUGGUCAUUGAUCCUAAACAGGAUGUGAUUUAUAAACUCGAAGCAAGUCAUUUAGGUGAUGUUUCACACGUAGAAGUUCAUGAAGGUGGUUGAAGAUGAUCUGUCUAAUUAAGGUACUCUCGAUGUACAAUACAAGUGAUAAAAGAAAAUACAAACACACUUAAGUGAGAAAUAAUCAAAUAAUUUCAAUCAACAAAAUAAAAGGACAAAAAGUUAAAUCACCCAAUAAAUGACUCAGUCAAGAUAUGGUAGGUCACUUAAAUUUAUUUAAGUGUCUUCUUCAUGUGGUUGGUACUCUAGAUAUAGUUUAACCUUUAACCAUUAGUUUUAAAAGUGACACAAUUUUUUAGAUCCUUAAUUUCAAUGUUCCUAUACAGAAAAAUAAUGUGAACAAUAAAUGGACCAUACCAUCGAUAGCGUAAUUUACUUGGGAAUAGAUGCAAGUGAGAAUUGAAUAAAAACAUUUUCUAACCUAGUGUAAAAGAUUUUUUCAUGAUAUGUUUGUCAUGAAAGACUUUCAUCUAUUACUUGUAAUUCUUCACAUUUUCAUAUCAAUGAGAAUUUCCUCAAGUUUUACUAGCCGUAAUCUUCUUUCCAAACCACCCUAUUGCAUGUUAAAGUUGAAUUUCUUGAUGGAAUAGUAUGCACAAUGAUCACGUUCUACUAGUAGAUGACAAACUUUUCUAUACACUAACCUAAAGGGAGACAUCUCAAUAGAUGUCUUGAAAACUAUUCGAUAUGCCCAUAGUGCAUCAUUAAGGGAAAGUAACACCCAUCGAAUUUGUCUGGCCUUUGCAUCUUUCCUUGUAAAAAGAUAUUUAAGGGAAGCAUGAUUUGAGAACACAAUUAUUUUACAUUCCCAUGUCAUUUACUAAUGUAGCGAUAAACUCUUUGUCCUAAUAAUGCUCCUAUUGCAUAAUCAGAUGCAUCACAUAUGAGCUUAAAAGGUAAGUUCUAGUUUAGGGGUUGAAUGAUGAAUGAUGAGGUCAAUAAUUACUUUAAUUUUUCAAAUGCCUUAAGACAUGAAUCAUCAAAGAUAAAAAAGUAUACUCUUAGCAAGUAAAUUGCAUAAGGGUAUAGAGAUUUUGCUAAAAUCUUUAAUGAAACAUCAAUAAAAACCAACAUGUUCAAGAAAAAAUCUUACUUCUUUGACUAUUUUGGGUGGAGGAAGAUUGAAAAUGAGAUCCACCUUAACUUUUUCAACCUCAUUAUAUUUGUUUGAAAUGAUGUGACAGAGGAUAGUACAUUGUUUCACCAUAAAAUGACACAUUUUCUAGUUCAAGACCAAACUCUUCUCUAUACAUCUCUACAAAAUUAGUGUUAGAUGAUGUAAACACUGAUCAAAUGAAUCACUAAAAGAAAAAAAGUAAUCUAUAAAGAUUUCAAGAAAAUUGUUCAACCAUAUUAGAAAAAAUAGUGUUAGAUGAUGUAAACACUGAUAAAAUGAAUCACUAAAAGCAAAAAAGUCAUCUAUAAAGACUUCAAGAAAAUUGUUCAACCAUAUUAGAAAAAAUACUUAACAUGUAUCAUUGGAAUGUGGCAGGUUCAUUGCCUAAUCUAAAUGGCAUUCUCCUUUGUACGAAAGUGCCAACAAGGCAAGUGAAAAUGUUUUUCUCUUGGUCCUUUAAUGUUAUAGGAAUCUAGAUAUAUCUUGAAUAACCAUCUAAAAAGCAAUAAAAUUCAUGACCCACUAAUCUAUCAAGCAUCUGAUCGAUAAAUAGUAAAUUCGUUCGAUAAAAUUCAAUUUCUUAUACUUAAUGUAUACACGCCACCUCGUGAUCACUCUAGUAGGUAUUAAUUCAUUCUCGACAUUGGUAACUACUGUAAUUCCUGACUUUUUGGGGACAACUUACAAAUGACUGACCCAUGAACUAUCAGAUAUAGGGUAAAUGAUACUUACGAUCAAUAGUUUCAAAACUCAGCUCUAAUGACUUCUUUCAUAUUAGGAUUUAGUCGGUGUUGCAUUUCCCUGGUAGGUUUAGUAUUUUCAUCAAAGUGAAUGUAACACAUACAAUUUAUUAUAUUUAUACCUUUUAUAUCGAUUAUAGUCCACCCUAAUGCCAUUUUGUGCUCUCUUAAAAUACUCAACAACUUACUCUUUUGUAUAUCAUCAAGAGAAGAUGAGAUGAUUAUUGACAUAGUAUUUUCCUUUCCUAAGAAUGCAUGUUUCAAAGUAUCAUAUAAUGGUUUGAGCUCAUGUUUUGGUAGUGAUUCUGAUAAUGGGCUGAGUUUCUUCCAUGAUGGUGCUAGUUGCUAUAUUCUUCCCUUCCAUUUAUUGGUUUCUAUAGGUAGUGAUGAAUCGAGUAAGGUAUUGACCUCGUCAACUAGUUUGUCAAUAUCAAAAUCCAAACCAAAAUAGGUUAAACAUAUUUGUAAAUGGUCAUCGCUAAGGGUAGAAAGAAAGAUAUGAUCAACUAAUUCUUUAAUUAAAUCCAUAUCAACAAUUCUUUUAUCUCUAUUGUAAGGUUGCUUGGCUAUCUUAAAGAUGUUCAACUUCAUAGUCAUAUUGCCAAAAGAGAACUGCUUAUUUCCAAUCAUGUAUUGAAUAUAAGCAUCGAUAGUUGCCAAGAAAGGUCAGCCUAGGAUAAUGAGGACAUAUUUCUUUGACUCUUGCACUGGUUGAGUGUCAAUCAUAAUAAAACCUAUAGGAAAAUAAAACUUGUCUACCUAGAUGAGCACAUCCUCUACAAUACCACAAGGUAUUUUUAUGCAUCGAUUUGUGAGCUGUAACACAACUGGAGUUAGGUGUAAUUCUCCCAAUCCAAGUUUCAGAAAUACUGAGUAAGGCAAAAGAUUUACACUAGCUCCUAAGUACAACGAAGCAUUCUUAAAUAUAUUUUUCCCAAUACUACAUGAGAUAUUGGGGGAGCAUGAGUCUUUGAGAUACUGGGGGAGCAUGAGUCUUUGAAUUUUGGAAAAAUUUUAUGUUGGAGAAUAGAACUAAUGUUUUCUAUUAGAAAUGCCUUCUUUUAAGCAUGAAUGCUUCUCUUUUUAAUAAAAAAAUCGUUAAGAACACUACAAGAAAAUAGGCAAUAGAUGACGAGAAAUAAACGUCAUAAAAGAUGGUGCAUGACAGAUAGUUCAUCCAUCAUUUGUCAUUGUCAUUAAUUUAUGACAAAAUAUUUUUUGUCAUGAAUUCUUGAUGGUAUUUUACAAUCAUAUAUCCGUCACACAAUAUUUUAAU
This 20889-nucleotide long non-coding RNA is filed under the name Citrus x clementina. RNAcentral's name for it is "Citrus clementina (C. clementina) long non-coding RNA (CCLE_LNC005182)". Lineage: Eukaryota; Viridiplantae; Streptophyta; Magnoliopsida; Sapindales; Rutaceae. The record is from RNAcentral.